Molecule: ribosomal RNA, 456 nt
Filed under: uncultured bacterium
Lineage: Bacteria
Description: bacterial SSU rRNA
Rfam family: Bacterial small subunit ribosomal RNA
Source: RNAcentral
AUUGAACGCAGGCGGCAGGCCUAAUACAUGCAAGUCGAACGGUAACAUAAGAAAGCUUGCUUUCUUGAUGACGAGUGGCGGACGGGUGAGUAAUAUUUGGGAAGCUACCUGAUAGAGGGGGGACAACAGUUGGAAACGACUGCUAAUACCGCAUACAGCCUGAGGGUGAAAGCAGCAAUGCGCUAUCAGAUGCGCCCAAACGGGAUUAGCUAGUAGGUGAGGUAAAGGCUCACCUAGGCGACGAUCUCUAGCUGGUCUGAGAGGAUGAUCAGCCACAUUGGGACUGAGACACGGCCCAGACUCCUACGGGAGGCAGCAGUAGGGAAUAUUGCACAAUGGAGGAAACUCUGAUGCAGCCAUGCCGCGUGUGUGAAGAAGGCCUUCGGGUUGUAAAGCACUUUCGGAGGGGAGGAACAAAUGACGUUACCCUCAGAAGAAGCACCGGCUAACUCCGUG